Molecule: ribosomal RNA, 669 nt
Filed under: Saprolegnia sp. UNCW259
Lineage: Eukaryota; Oomycota; Saprolegniomycetes; Saprolegniales; Saprolegniaceae
Description: eukaryotic LSU rRNA
Rfam family: Eukaryotic large subunit ribosomal RNA
Source: RNAcentral
CCCCAGUAACGGCGAGUGAAGCGGGAAGAGCUCAAGCUUAAAAUCUCCAUACUUGUAUGGCGAAUUGUAGUCUAUUGAGGCUGUUGUCAGCAUCGCGAUCGGGGACAAGUCCCUUGGAAAAGGGCAGCAUGGAGGGUGAUACUCCCGUCUCUGCUCCGAUUUGCGGUGUGUACGAUACGCUUUCUUUGAGUCGAGUUGUUUGGGAAUACAGCUCAAAGUAGGUGGUAAAUUCCAUCUAAAGCUAAAUAUUGGUGCGAGACCGAUAGCGAACAAGUACCGUGAGGGAAAGAUGAAAAGAACUUUGAAAAGAGAGUUAAAGAGUACCUGAAACUGUUGAAAGGGAACCGUAUCGUUUCCAGUGUUUUAUCUUGUGCAUAUUUCAUUCGCGGAGUAAUUUGCGGGUGCCCUGUGCAUGAGUGUGACGUCAGAGUCAGUUUGUAUGCUGCGGGAGAUGGUCAGUGAGGAGGUGCGUCACUUCGGUGAAAGUUAUAUCUCGCUGUCUAGUAGCCGUGGUUGAGACUGAGGUGCCUACAACAUGCCUUGGGGUUUUGUGUUGUCUCGUGUUGGUGACUGCUUUGAUAGCUUGCUAUGUCUGUGGUUUAUUAAUGCGAUUGAUGAUGCGGAUAACCUCUGCUGUUCGGGACUCUGGCGAAAUGGAGCGAUACGACC